RNAcentral lists this ribosomal RNA (520 nucleotides) under uncultured bacterium. RNAcentral describes it as "partial 16S ribosomal RNA". It matches the Rfam family "Bacterial small subunit ribosomal RNA", at positions 355 to 864 of the family's 1533-position model. The record is from RNAcentral.
UGGGGAAUAUUGCACAAUGGGCGCAAGCCUGAUGCAGCCAUGCCGCGUGUGUGAAGAAGGCCUUCGGGUUGUAAAGCACUUUCAGCGAGGAGGAAGGUGGUGAGCUUAAUACGCUCAUCAAUUGACGUUACUCGCAGAAGAAGCACCGGCUAACUCCGUGCCAGCAGCCGCGGUAAUACGGAGGGUGCAAGCGUUAAUCGGAAUUACUGGGCGUAAAGCGCACGCAGGCGGUUUGUUAAGUCAGAUGUGAAAUCCCCGGGCUCAACCUGGGAACUGCAUUUGAAACUGGCAAGCUAGAGUCUCGUAGAGGGGGGUAGAAUUCCAGGUGUAGCGGUGAAAUGCGUAGAGAUCUGGAGGAAUACCGGUGGCGAAAGGCGGCCCCCUGGACGAAGACUGACGCUCAGGUGCGAAAGCGUGGGGCAGCAAACAGGAUUAGAUACCCUGGUAGUCCACGCUGUAAACGAUGUCGAUUUUGGAGGUUGUGCCCUUGAGGCGUGGCUUCCGGAGCUAACGCGUUAAA